UUUCUUUCUUAUUAUCUACGUUCUCUUCAUUUUUCUCAUCUGGUGUGAGGAUCAUAAAUACAGUAAGUAAGUAGUGUGAUGCUGUCGCAUUU
This 92-nucleotide non-coding RNA is filed under the name Fragilariopsis kerguelensis. The record is from RNAcentral. Lineage: Eukaryota; Bacillariophyta; Bacillariophyceae; Bacillariales; Bacillariaceae.